This 399-nucleotide ribosomal RNA is filed under the name uncultured bacterium. RNAcentral describes it as "bacterial SSU rRNA". It matches the Rfam family "Bacterial small subunit ribosomal RNA", at positions 28 to 433 of the family's 1533-position model. The record is from RNAcentral.
GACAAACGCUGGCGGCGUGCUUAACACAUGCAAGUCGAACGGCAGCGCGGGGCAACCUGGCGGCGAGUGGCGAACGGGUGAGUAAUAUAUCGGAAUGUACCCUAGAGUGGGGGAUAACGUAGCGAAAGUUACGCUAAUACCGCAUACGAUCUACGGAUGAAAGUGGGGAUCGCAAGACCUCAUGCUCAUGGAGCAGCCGAUACCUGAUUAGCUAGUUGGUAGGUAAAGCCUACCAAGGCUUCGAUCAGUAGCUGGUUUGAGAGAACGACCAGCCACACUGGGAACUGAGACACGGUCCAGACUCCUACGGGAGGCAGCAGUGGGAAUUUUUGGACAAUGGGGGCAACCCUGAUCUAGCAAUGCCGCGUGAGUGAAGAAGGCCUUCGGGUUGUAAAGCUC